This 76-nucleotide transfer RNA is filed under the name Bacteroidota bacterium. RNAcentral's name for it is "tRNA-Thr". It matches the Rfam family "tRNA". From Rfam's summary of the family: Transfer RNA (tRNA) molecules are approximately 80 nucleotides in length. Lineage: Bacteria; Pseudomonadati; Bacteroidota. RNAcentral also lists the same sequence under 3 other names. The record is from RNAcentral.
GCCAAUUUAGCUCAGCUGGUAGAGCAGCUCAUUCGUAAUGAGCAGGUCGUCGGUUCGAGUCCGACAAUUGGCUCCA